GUCGGAAUUCCGGGGGUUGUAAUCCACGAAAGCGUAGCCACGCGACUGGUCGAUCGUGUGGAAGAGCGGGUUCCAGUCGAACAUGACCAGCAUCUUGGGCGGCAGCGUGUUGGCCACGAACAUCUUGCCCGAGGCGAUCAUGUUGGCGCGCUG
This is a small RNA of 153 nucleotides. It matches the Rfam family "Ruegeria cis2 sRNA". Rfam says of the family: Cis-encoded. Targets ABC transporter. The record is from Rfam.